UACAGAGGGGGCAAGCGUUAUUCGGAAUUACUGGGCGUAAAGCGUGCGCAGGCGGCUUUGCAAGACAGAUGUGAAAUCCCCGGGCUUAACCUGGGAACUGCAUUUGUGACUGCAUGGCUCGAGUGCGGCAGAGGGGGAUGGAAUUCCUGGUGUAGCAGUGAAAUGCGUAGAUAUCAGGAGGAAUACCGAUGGCGAAGGCAGGUCUCUGGGCUAUAACUGACGCUCAUGCACGAAAGCGUGGGGAGCAAACAGG
This 253-nucleotide ribosomal RNA is filed under the name uncultured bacterium. Its description in RNAcentral is "partial 16S ribosomal RNA". It matches the Rfam family "Bacterial small subunit ribosomal RNA", at positions 524 to 776 of the family's 1533-position model. The record is from RNAcentral.